AUUGAACGCUGGCGGCAUGCCUUACACAUGCAAGUCGAACGGUAACAGGUCUUCGGAUGCUGACGAGUGGCGAACGGGUGAGUAAUACAUCGGAACGUGCCUAGUAGUGGGGGAUAACUACUCGAAAGAGUGGCUAAUACCGCAUGAGAUCUACGGAUGAAAGCAGGGGAUCGCAAGACCUUGUGCUACUAGAGCGGCCGAUGGCAGAUUAGGUAGUUGGUGGGAUAAAAGCUUACCAAGCCGACGAUCUGUAGCUGGUCUGAGAGGACGAUCAGCCACACUGGGACUGAGACACGGCCCAAACUCCUACGGGAGGCAGCAGUGGGGAAUUUUGAAGAAUGAGAGCAAGCCUGAUCCAGAAAUGCCGCGUGCAGGAUGAAGCCUUCGGGUUGUAAACUGCUUUUGUACGGAACGAAAAGCCCUGGGUUAAUACCCUGGGGUCAUGACGGUACUGUAAGAAUAAGCACCGGCUAACUACGUGCCAGCCGCCGCCGUAA
RNAcentral lists this ribosomal RNA (497 nucleotides) under uncultured bacterium. Its description in RNAcentral is "partial 16S ribosomal RNA". It matches the Rfam family "Bacterial small subunit ribosomal RNA", at positions 30 to 523 of the family's 1533-position model. The record is from RNAcentral.